GGGGUGUAUGCGCACAGCGCGGGCGACGCGGAAGGCCACGCGGAA
This is a non-coding RNA of Caenorhabditis elegans, 45 nucleotides long. The record is from Ensembl. Lineage: Eukaryota; Metazoa; Nematoda; Chromadorea; Rhabditida; Rhabditidae.